Molecule: long non-coding RNA, 1349 nt
Filed under: Mytilus galloprovincialis (Mediterranean mussel)
Lineage: Eukaryota; Metazoa; Mollusca; Bivalvia; Mytilida; Mytilidae
Source: RNAcentral
AAAUAACUAACUUAAAUCAAACGUUAGACUUUAUCAACCAACGGAAAGUAUUGUAUACAACUGUCAUACUUCUGAUUUGGUUAAGGUAUUUAAUUUUAAAAAUCACGAUAAAUGUAUCCUUACUUUCUGUCAUUCGGUUGCCUUUGAUGGGGGUUACGAACUGAAUGUUCAAAAUUAACUUCUCUUAUCACUACGGUUUUUAUAGGAACUGUUCUUUCUGUAUUCUCAGUGACAAUACACAACUCGUCCAAUAAUAGUAUCUCCAUCUAUAACUUUGGCAAUUAUUUUCUCCCACAUAUUUAUUUUGAAAUAAUAACAUCCAUAUAUUACAAAAAACGUUAUAUAUAUCCCAAUAAUAAUUUCGCAAUUUAACAAGAUAAGAUAAGAUAAGAUAAGAAUUUUAGGAAUGUAACUAAAUAACAAACAAAAACCAACUAUACAAACAGGUUACAUAGAUAUUGUUUUUUUUUAAAUACGUGACAACAAGUCUUCUCCAAAAGUAGUGUUCAAAUCCUUAUGUUAAGAACAGAGAUUAAGAAGGAAAUACUGCUACCUCCAUUAUAUUUUCAUAUACUUGGUAAAUGUUAAUACGAUUGAUAAUAUUCUCUCAAAAUUCACGUGUUACGGUAACACAUGCAGCCGGGUAACUUGGUGAUUUUCGACAUGAUUUGUCCCCUAUUCACAAAAGUCAUUAUCAAUCCAAAUAUAGCGUGUAAUAUAUCGAAUAUGCUGACACAAAACAAAACUGACCGCACAGUAUUUGCUAAGUCUGAAAAAUCAAUAACUCUUUCAUUUUUUUCAUGUUCUAAACCAAUAUAGGUUGUAUAUAUCAGAAGCAGUACAUCGCUACAUAACAUCAGUACAUUUCCUACGCAUAUUAUAACGAAAAAUGGUAUUUUGACAUCUUUGGAACAUCUUAUAAAGACAUAGAACAUACGCGAAUGACAUGAUAGACAUGAAAAAAAGCUUAUGUAGCCACACCAAAGUAAAACAACCACAUGAAAAACUGUGUAUAUCUUGGUAAGAGUAGGACUGUGUAACCCUCCGUAAGAUAAAUCUCGGUCAAAUGAUAUGAAUUCCUUUAACGAAUGUUCAAAAAAUCCAUAAGACGUCCAUAUAAUCGUAUAUUCUGUUGCAGUUAUUAUUAUGUUGAUAUAAAAACGAAUCACUAUGAUAUGAAGAUAAUGAAAACGACGACACAAACGGUCAUUUUCCAGACAACGAGUAAGAACGAAUACAACCAGAUCGUAAGCAUCUCCAAAUUCAAACAUGUUGGAUCCAAGGCAAUUUCAAUAAGAAAGCAAUAUGUUAUACUGACGACGAUUCUAAUAGAAAUAAACUUCAAUGAG